GCGCGCGUGGCGGAAUUGGUAGACGCGCUGGAUUUAGGUUCCAGUGUCGCAAGACGUGGGGGUUCAAGUCCCUCCGCGCGCACCA
Molecule: transfer RNA, 85 nt
Filed under: Sphingomonas sp.
Lineage: Bacteria; Pseudomonadati; Pseudomonadota; Alphaproteobacteria; Sphingomonadales; Sphingomonadaceae
Also listed under: 1 other name
Description: tRNA-Leu
Rfam family: tRNA
About the family: Transfer RNA (tRNA) molecules are approximately 80 nucleotides in length. Their secondary structure includes four short double-helical elements and three loops (D, anti-codon, and T loops).
Source: RNAcentral